UACGUAGGUGACAAGCGUUGUCCGGAUUUACUGGGCGUAAAGGGCGCGUAGGCGGUCUUGUAAGUCUUGUGUGAAAUCCCUCGGCUCAACUGAGGAACUGCACGGGAUACUGCGAGACUUGAGUUCGGGAGAGGGAAGCGGAAUUCCGGGUGUAGCGGUGAAAUGCGUAGAUAUCUGGAGGAACACCGGUGGCGAAGGCGGCAUCCUGGACCGGCAUUGACGCUGAGGCGCGAAAGCCAGGGGAGCAAACGGG
This 253-nucleotide ribosomal RNA is filed under the name uncultured bacterium. Its description in RNAcentral is "partial 16S ribosomal RNA". It matches the Rfam family "Bacterial small subunit ribosomal RNA", at positions 524 to 776 of the family's 1533-position model. The record is from RNAcentral.